This 468-nucleotide ribosomal RNA is filed under the name uncultured bacterium. Its description in RNAcentral is "partial 16S ribosomal RNA". It matches the Rfam family "Bacterial small subunit ribosomal RNA", at positions 28 to 507 of the family's 1533-position model. The record is from RNAcentral.
GACGAACGCUGGCGGCGUGCUUAGCACAUGCAAGUCGAACGGAAAGGCCCUGCUUUUGUGGGGUGCUCGAGUGGCGAACGGGUGAGUAACACGUGAGUAACCUGCCCUUGACUUUGGGAUAACUUCAGGAAACUGGGGCUAAUACCGGAUAGGAGCUCCUGCUGCAUGGUGGGGGUUGGAAAGUUUCGGCGGUUGGGGAUGGACUCGCGGCUUAUCAGCUUGGUGGUGGGGUAGUUGCUUACCAAGGCUUUGACGGGUAGCCGGCCUGAGAGGGUGACAGGCCACAGUGGGACUGAGAUACGGGCAAGAGUCAUACGGGCGGCAGCAGUGGGGAAUAUUGCAAGAUGGGCGGAAGCCUGAAGCAGCAACGCCGCGUGGGGGAUGACGGCCUUCGGGUUGUAAACCGCUUUCGCCUGUGACGAAGCGUGAGUGACGGUAAUGGGUAAAGAAGCAACGGCUAACUACGUG